UGACUUUGAGAAAAAUGUACUUUAACAAAGGGAAAGCAAAAUGAUGUCAAAGGCAAUUAAUUAUUUAGGCCAGACUCAAAAAUUCUUUGUGUUAAUGAACCCAUAUAGUCCCUGUAGCCUAUUUUCCAUUCUAGUUUCUCCUUGUAGUUUCUUCAUCUUUUAUUGGACUUAGUGUAUUUUACUAGUAUAUCAUUGAUGUCAUGUUUGUUCUGUUCUGUCUGCCUGCAUUGUAAAAGGAAAGUUUAAAUUUUGUGUUCUUUUUUUAAAACGUCAUGUAAUUGACAAAUUACAUUUGUAGAAAUGACAAUUUACUUUGUAUGUAAAAAUUUAUUAGAGUUUAUUUUGAGCAUCAUGUGGCAGAAUAAAUCUUAAUUUAACUUUCACAGAUAUUUUUUUUUCUAUCUUUCUAAGUUAGGAUUCUAACAUAAAAUCGCCUGCUGGGUUUCGGAAGGUGUGAGUUUAAAAACCAAAAGCUGAACUUUUAGAGUUUUGCAUACAAAGUAGAAGCAGUAAAGGUGUAGAAUAGUGACUGUUAAAUAAUUCCCCCCCCUACACACACCAUAAUGGUUUUCAGUUCCAAAGUCUUAACAGAAUUGCUUUUACAAUUUUGACUAACAGGAGCAUAUUAAAAGGGGCCAACAAAAAGUAAGGUCAGAGAUCUUCUAAAAUUAAAUGCUCUAAAAAGUGCAAUUAAAUAUAUUGACCCAAAUAAAAUAUAUUUCAGCUUGUAGCCUCCUGAUAUCCAAGCAUGUCCUAAUAAGACUCAAUAAAAUAUGGUAAACCUUGAGCAUUUUUGUAAAGCAUAUUGGCAAAUAUUGGAAAUGUUUUUAAUAGAUGCUUACCUUUUCAAAACUAAAUUUUCUCUGGUAUUACUUAUGCAUUUUUUUCCACACCAUAAGUUAACUGUGUGAAUUACCUUUUUAAAAUUUCUAUGUAGAUGGUGACGAACAACUUUUUUUUACAAAGCCAUUUCAGGAAAAAUGAAAAUGUUUAUAGGCCUCCAUUUAAAAAUUUCAAAAUGGAAAUAUUUUAUUGAGUCCCGUGGAGGAAUAAACAUCUGUAAGCUGGACUACCCACUUUACUAAUUUAAAAAAUGCCACUGAGAAUUUGCAUUGCUUUUUAGCCACUGAAUUAUUACUCUCUGGAUGUGUUUGAGGAGCAAUGGGUGGCUUUUUUCUUAGACUGAGAUCGUGAGCUAUAUCCUCAAGCUGGGAGUACCACUUUUAGUCCCUGGAUCCGUAUUUCUUUAUGUCUGAAAUAGAGAAUACAUAGUGGUCUCAUGCAAUCUAUUGAUCCAAAUCCCUGCCAAUUUCUGGGUUCUAGUCUUUAAAUUAUGUUAAAUUGCUAUUGUCUAACAAAGAACUAUCAACCACUUGGAUUUCUUAACUUCCAUCACUAGAACUAAUAAUUAGUGUUCUUUUUUUAAAAAAAAUUAAAUAACUAUUUUCAAACAGCAGAGAAUUUAAAAAGUGGCCCAAAGAUACAGAUGUUGGAAAGUCAGCUUCCGAGUUGGUUCUGCCCCUCUACCCUGGCAUACAGCUUCACUGUUCUUCCACAGAGUUAAUGACGAGGGUCCCUGAGGGCACUGGGAACGAUCCAAACUAGGUAUAUUAAAUCCAUGAAGGGCAUCAGUCCGCUGUGUUUAUCUUACACAAGCCAAGUCCUGUGCUAGAAAUUAAAACUAUAACCGAAGGUUCUGUAAAAUGAGUAUUAAUUUGAAAGGUCUAAACAUUUUUAAAUAUUUUAAUUUUGAUAAAAAUUUUUGAUAAAAUGCCACAGUUCUUGUUCACUACAGGAUUGUCAUAUUUCUAAUGUUUGUUUACAUGCAGUAGUAAAGCACUGCCUUUAAAGCAAAGAGUAAGCCUAUUAUAAAUUCCCAGAUUAAAAGUCAUUCUACCUUAUAUUCAGAAAUUAAAAUACUGACAUUUUCUGUUUUGCUCAAAACAUGCUUUCAGAAUCUUCCAUUAUUUUGUUAAUGAUUUUGAGUCUGAAACCAUUUAAUACUGUGUUUGUUAAUGUUGGUGUUCUUUCACUUUGCUGUUAGGUCAGAAUUAUGAAUUUGCAAAUAGCAACUUCCAGCGGAAGAGUGGGUAAAGGUUUUAGUACAGACAAAUUAUUCCAACUACCAUCUUAUUAUACUAUAUUUCAAGCUGAAACAAAUAUUUAAGAUGGUAGGAUGGUAUUGUACAUCUUAGAAGAAAUAAAGAUCUAGAUUCUUUCCUUUCCCUUCAGGAAAGUUAACUGCUUAUUGCAUGAGGAAAAGAGAGCCUUUAGAUUCUUUUAAUCUAUUUUAGUAAGCUGCUUUUUCAGUUUUGCUUGCACAUAUUUUGUUUAUUUUUGGGUCUGGCAAUUUAAAAACAAAAUAAAAAACAAAUCAUAUCCAUCCAUUACUAUCUUUGUGAUUCAAGUGCUUGAAAUUUCCGAGAGUAUGUCUGUAUAAGUCUUCUAUCUGUUUGGCCUCAUUUUGGUAACCUGCAGACUUCAUUUUGUUUUCUUUCUCUUAAUUCUGUUAAUUUAUUUAAUCUCAUGGGAGAGAAAACAUGAUCAUUCUUUUAUAUACUGUACUUCAUUCUUUCAUCCAGUUCAUACUCUUAACUGCUUUGGAUUCAUGUAUUUUUUUUUGUUAGUGAACUUGCUGCAGUUUACCUGCCAUGGUGGUGCUCAAGUAUAACAACAUAGAUGGAAACAAGUUAUUUCUCCAGUAGGGUUUCAUUCUUUUUAUUUCUGCUUUGUGUCAACUGUGUGAUCUUAAAUCUUUUAAGAACUAUGUUGUACUGUUCAAAAGAUCUUAUUUUUACAUUUCACAUUGUACAUACUACUAAGUCAGGGAAGCCCAAUUUCUGUAAAUUUGAGUGUCAAAAUUGUUAGUAAAAUUUAUCUUGUUGCUUUGAGCAUGUCUUAUGGGAGAAAGAAAAUCUUACUAAGAUGAAAAUUACUUUACACCUCUGUGUUGGCAGACUUAUCUCCUAAUGGCAAGUUACAUCUUUUACAUUUUAUUCUUAAAAAAAAGUUUUAGACUUCACUUUCAUGGGAGUCUGAUAAUGAAAUCUGUGCCAUAGCAGUUCUGAGGUUGACUACCUGAGUAGUCUUUUUCUUUUUUAAGCCCUAAGGUUUUAUAAAUAAACAUUGAUAGCUCAUUGAAGCAUCUAUUUGCUGAUCAACAAUCUUUAUCAUUUUUCCUUUACAUUUUAUAUUCUGUAGAAUCUAAUUUCUUAAAAUGCUAGUUUAAUUAAAACCUAAUUGAAAUACGUUUUACAACUUUUUUAUUUCCUACCAUUUAAAUUCAUGACAUACUACGCAAGAGUUUUGAACAUGCUUGAGAAAUAAUUUGAUUCUUUUAAUUCAUUUGCGUGUUCUGAAUAGUUACCAUCCUUUGCAUGUCUAUGGCUUGCUGCUUAUGUUUAGAGGAAUUGUAGUUUGUUGUACUUAGAAAUUUCUUUGUUUUACAUAAUAAGAAUUUGGCACAUAUAUGCUAUUUAAAUCAAAUGCUAUAUUGACUUUAUGUAUUCUCAUUAGCAGCCAACAGUCGACACCAUCUUUGGUCACAAAGAAACAACUAAAUCUAAUGAAAUAUAACAGGAUGCAUUUUUAUCCUCAUUUUCUUUAAGUUCAGUGUAUUACUGAAAAUAAGACUUCUUGACAAAGACAUUUAAUUCAUAACAGAAAUUAUUUUUUACUAUUUAUAAAUGUAAACCAUAGCAUAUAGCAUCCAGUAAAACAUACAAUCUACCUUCUCUCUCUUUCUUAAUAAUGCAACUUUAAUAGUUCAUGUCUUUGAAAAUAUUUAUAUUCAGAUAUCAAUACUUUUCUAUAGUCUACUCAACAUUUGUACCCUAUAUAGAAAUUCCAAAGUAAAAAUAGUGGCAAAUUGAUUUUUUAAUUUAAAAAAUUACAAAGUCUUUCUACCUGGAAAAUGAUACUAAUUCCAGGAUGUCUGUAAAUUUUGCUCCCUUGGCUGGCAACAUACUUCCUGGGAAAAGGAAAAUAGCCUACGAGAUGGUAAAGCUCUGUGAACUGGAUUCUUCUGUGAUUGUAAACCAUUGUAAAUUUUGGUAGCUAGACAUUGAACUUGAAAGGAUCAAGUUAAAGACCCUUUUAAAUAUAGUUUGUGCUCCCUGGAACCCUAAAUAAUACUCAUUUAUUCAUAAUAUUCAACAUUUUGGGGAGCAGUGGGAGGGAAGGGUGGGUUACAACAAAAACUGCAUUGCUUCAGGUAGGUAUAAAUAUGGAGGUGAAUCAGAUUUUUAGUUAUAUAUCAGAAAUAACUAACAUCCAUUAAAUUACAAAAAUUGAAUACUCCAGCCCUGUCAGUCUUUAAUUGGGUAUGGGGCUUUUCAUCCAUAUCACUCUUACCAUUGCCUGUGUGGGCCAUAUCUAUUAUUAAUACUACUUGAGUGAUUUUUAUAUUAUUUCCCAUUUUGGCUUGAUAAUCCAUGGCUUUUAUUUCACUGCUUAACAAUGUUUGUAUCCUUUAUUCAGCAAAUAGUUUACACUGGCCUAUUUUGUAUCAGUCAAGAUUUUUCUCAGGUAACAGCUUUAUUAUUUUAUUUUAUUUUUUUAGUUAACAAGAGGUAGGAUUACAUAAGAGAAGAAAAACUAAAAUUACAAACAGAAACUUUAAAACUAGUGUGUCUGGUUACUUGGACAUUGCAUCAUAGAUGUAAUCUAAGCAAAGUGGAAGAUCUGUCUUUGUUACUUAGUUGUCUGCAUUUGUACAGGACGAUGUAUGCCACUAAAUUUAGAUGUUUGUUGGCUUUAUUAUAUAACCUGAAUAAAAAUUGAUGAAAUCUAAUCGGUAUACAAUUAAACCUUAAAAAUAUGAAGACUAUUGAUGUAGCUAUUUAAUGAAAAUUAUAUAUAUGCAUUUUUCUUUUCUAAGCAUUUUUUCUUUUAAAAUUAUUUCACAAAUUAUAAACUCUCCUACUAAGAUGAAAGCCAAAUACUGUACACUAAUGGUACUGGAAAUUUUAAAAUUCAUUUACUUGUAUAUACUACCUUUUGCAAAAUGCUAUUCUUUGCGUAAAUUUGUAUAUUGUAAACUGAACCUAUGUUGUUGAAUCUACUGUGUAUGACAAAAUAUUUUUAAUCAUUAUGCUUUUACUAAUGCAUUAAAGGGUUGGAAUGAUCCUCUUGUAGUUGUAUUUUUAAGCAGAACUGUUCUCUCUUUGUAUUGAGGCUUUAGCUUAGAAGCCUAAUUUUUUUUUAAUGUUCUAGAACUUUCCUAGAAAAGUUAAGAAGAGCCUCCAUAAUUUUUUUAAAUUUAUUGUUUUGAAAGAGGGUUUAGCCCUAAGAAAUUAAACAGGCAUGAUCUAUUACUUUCAGAUCUAUAUUUCACAGCGUAUAUUGAUAAAAAGUGCCAUUUAAAAAACCCCAAAUGUCCAACUCUAUCAAUUGUUACAAGAAAUAUUUAAUGGAGAAGCUAAUGUAAAAUAUGCCCUAUGCUUCUAUCAUAAGCCAGUUAAACAAGAUAUAGGUGAGGAUCUAGAUUUGUCAUUUGAAUAUUGUAACAUAUAAGCAGUACAGGUUAAUUUGUACUUAAAUAUUUACAUUGUUGUCAUUGCAUGUAUUCACUGUAUUUUUUAAUGUAUCAGCUGUUUUCUCUUUAUAGAUUAGUAUUUCAAAGUAACCAUCCCAUGCCAAUUCAGACUACCAUUGGUCUCUAAGCUUGUUAAAUGAAAAUGUUUUAUUACUGUCUUC
This is a long non-coding RNA of Manis pentadactyla (Chinese pangolin), 5697 nucleotides long. RefSeq lists it as uncharacterized. NCBI's taxonomy places the organism in Eukaryota, Metazoa, Chordata, Mammalia, Pholidota, Manidae. The record is from RefSeq and is a predicted model, not a curated record. The transcript is spliced from 2 exons.